This 74-nucleotide transfer RNA is filed under the name Rosa chinensis. Its description in RNAcentral is "sRNA RchiOBHm_Chr0c38g0503021". It matches the Rfam family "tRNA". Rfam says of the family: Transfer RNA (tRNA) molecules are approximately 80 nucleotides in length. Their secondary structure includes four short double-helical elements and three loops (D, anti-codon, and T loops). The record is from Rfam by way of RNAcentral. Lineage: Eukaryota; Viridiplantae; Streptophyta; Magnoliopsida; Rosales; Rosaceae.
GGCAUAUUAGCUCAGCUGGUUAAAGCGUCAUGCUAAUAACGCGAAGCUCACAGUUUUGAGACCUGUAUGUUCCA